CUGGCUCAGGACGAACGCUGGCGGCGUGCUUAACACAUGCAAGUCGAACGAUGAUGCCCAGCUUGCUGGGUGGAUUAGUGGCGAACGGGUGAGUAACACGUGAGUAACCUGCCCCUGACUCUGGGAUAAGCGUUGGAAACGACGUCUAAUACUGGAUAUGACUGCCGGCCGCAUGGUCUGGUGGUGGAAAGAUUUUUUGGUUGGGGAUGGACUCGCGGCCUAUCAGCUUGUUGGUGAGGUAAUGGCUCACCAAGGCGACGACGGGUAGCCGGCCUGAGAGGGUGACCGGCCACACUGGGACUGAGACACGGCCCAGACUCCUACGGGAGGCAGCAGUGGGGAAUAUUGCACAAUGGGCGAAAGCCUGAUGCAGCAACGCCGCGUGAGGGAUGACGGCCUUCGGGUUGUAAACCUCUUUUAGUAGGGAAGAAGGGAGCUUGCUCUUGACGGUACCUGCAGAAAAAGCACCGGCUAACUACGUGCCAGCAGCCGCGGUAAUACGUAGGGUGCAAGCGUUGUCCGGAAUUAUUGGGCGUAAAGAGCUCGUAGGCGGUUUGUCGCGUCUGCUGUGAAAUCCCGAGGCUCAACCUCGGGCUUGCAGUGGGUACGGGCAGACUAGAGUGCGGUAGGGGAGAUUGGAAUUCCUGGUGUAGCGGUGGAAUGCGCAGAUAUCAGGAGGAACACCGAUGGCGAAGGCAGAUCUCUGGGCCGUAACUGACGCUGAGGAGCGAAAGCAUGGGGAGCGAACAGGAUUAGAUACCCUGGUAGUCCAUGCCGUAAACGUUGGGCGCUAGAUGUAGGGACCUUUCCACGGUUUCUGUGUCGUAGCUAACGCAUUAAGCGCCCCGCCUGGGGAGUACGGCCGCAAGGCUAAAACUCAAAGGAAUUGACGGGGGCCCGCACAAGCGGCGGAGCAUGCGGAUUAAUUCGAUGCAACGCGAAGAACCUUACCAAGGCUUGACAUACACCGGAAACGGCCAGAGAUGGUCGCCCCCUUGUGGUCGGUGUACAGGUGGUGCAUGGUUGUCGUCAGCUCGUGUCGUGAGAUGUUGGGUUAAGUCCCGCAACGAGCGCAACCCUCGUUCUAUGUUGCCAGCGCGUUAUGGCGGGGACUCAUAGGAGACUGCCGGGGUCAACUCGGAGGAAGGUGGGGAUGACGUCAAAUCAUCAUGCCCCUUAUGUCUUGGGCUUCACGCAUGCUACAAUGGCCGGUACAAAGGGCUGCGAUACCGUAAGGUGGAGCGAAUCCCAAAAAGCCGGUCUCAGUUCGGAUUGAGGUCUGCAACUCGACCUCAUGAAGUCGGAGUCGCUAGUAAUCGCAGAUCAGCAACGCUGCGGUGAAUACGUUCCCGGGCCUUGUACACACCGCCCGUCAAGUCAUGAAAGUCGGUAACACCCGAAGCCGGUGG
This 1409-nucleotide ribosomal RNA is filed under the name Curtobacterium sp. UNCCL20. RNAcentral describes it as "bacterial SSU rRNA". It matches the Rfam family "Bacterial small subunit ribosomal RNA". The record is from RNAcentral. Lineage: Bacteria; Bacillati; Actinomycetota; Actinomycetes; Micrococcales; Microbacteriaceae.